UGGCUGCAGAACGAACGCUGGCGGCGUGCUUAACACGAUGGCAACGUCGAGCGAGAAAUGGGGGGCAACCCCCUGAGUAGAGCGGCGCACGGGUGAGUAACGCCGUGGGUGAACCUACCCCCAGCGGGGGAUAACACUCGAAAGGGUGGCUCAAUACCGCAUGAGGACCACGGGAUCUUCGGGUCCUGAGGCCAAAGGCUGCGAUCGGCUUGCCGGUGUAGUCACCAGGGGAUGGGCCCGCGUCCGAUUAGCUAGUUGGUGGGGUAACGGCUCACCAAGGCUACGAUCGGUAGCUGGUCUGAGAGGAUGAUCAGCCACACUGGAACUGAAACACGGUCCAGACUCCUACGGGAGGCAGCAGUGAGGAAUAUUGCGCAAUGGGGGGAAACCCUGACGCAGCAACGCCGCGUGGGUGAAGAAGGCCUUCGGGUCGUAAAGCCCUUUCGGACGGGACGAACGCUCCGCGGGGACAAGCCGCGGAGUCUGACGGUACCGUAGGAAGAAGCACCGGCUAACUCCGUGCCAGCAGCCGCGGUAA
RNAcentral lists this ribosomal RNA (538 nucleotides) under uncultured prokaryote. RNAcentral describes it as "bacterial SSU rRNA". It matches the Rfam family "Bacterial small subunit ribosomal RNA", at positions 26 to 523 of the family's 1533-position model. The record is from RNAcentral.